CGCACAAUGACGUCGUUUAUGCUGAGAAGGAUUCGAAAUCGAUUGUCGAAAAAACUCAAGUCGAUCAACAAAAUGUCGGAUAAACAAAAUGCUCAAAAAAGUGCUAAAAUAGCAGCUGGCGCCGUGGUGUGCGUCGAAAGCGAGAUCAGAGGGGAAGUCACUAUUGGUGCCAGAACCGUGGUCCAUCCCAAAGCCCGCAUCAUUGCCGAGGCAGGACCCAUAGUCAUAGGAGAAGGCAACCUCAUCGAGGAACAAGCUCUUAUAAUUAACAGUUAUCCAGAGAACAUAGCGCCUGACUCUGAGGGAGUGGAGCCAAAGACGAUGACCAUCGGCAUCAACAACGUGUUUGAAGUUGGAUGUAUGUCUCAAGCUUUGAAAAUUGGGGACAACAAUGUCAUAGAAUCCAAAGCUGACCUGGGCAGGAACAUGAUUCUAACUUCUGGUUGUAUCAUCGGCGCCUGUUGCCAGGUCAACACCUGUGAGGUCAUACCUGAAAACACUGUCAUCUUCGGCUCGGGGUGUCAGAGACGUGUGCAGACAGAGCGACCACAGCCUCAGACUCUUCAGCUUGACUUCCUGAUGAAGAUCCUCCCCAACUACCACCACAUGAAGAAGACUGUCAAAACCACCUCCGCUGUCACACCGGCCAAAAACUAAACCCCACCAGCUCUCAGCCCCGGGCCCCAAAACAUUUACCUCUCUGGCAGACAGCGAACGAAGGAAUCUCUUACCACUCAAAAUGUACUGCCACUACUUUAACAAGAAUCUGAAGAAUGUCACUGAAGUGUUCUCCUUGGUGGUCUCACCACACCGAGUUCCAGUUUCCCAGACCCAGGUCCAGUUUCCCAGACCCAGGUCCAGUUUCCCAGACCCAGGUCCAGUUUCCCAGACCCAGGUCCAGUUUCCCAGACCCAGGUCCAGUUUCCCAGACCCAGGUCCAGUUUCCCAGACCCGGCUGGAUUUAAACAGUUUAGUCCAUGAUGAGGCGUGACCUGUGUCUGGGAAACUGCCCCUUGGUAGUGGAAGUGUCUGACUGUUUACCACCAAAUUCUUUGUAUCCAAUUGUAAUUAAAAAAAAUGACUUAUUUAAAA
Non-coding RNA from Oncorhynchus mykiss (rainbow trout), 1092 nucleotides. The record is from RefSeq and is a predicted model, not a curated record. NCBI's taxonomy places the organism in Eukaryota, Metazoa, Chordata, Actinopteri, Salmoniformes, Salmonidae.